RNAcentral lists this ribosomal RNA (505 nucleotides) under uncultured bacterium. Its description in RNAcentral is "bacterial SSU rRNA". It matches the Rfam family "Bacterial small subunit ribosomal RNA", at positions 8 to 507 of the family's 1533-position model. The record is from RNAcentral.
AGAGUUUGAUCCUGGCUCAGAUUGAACGCUGGCGGCAGGCCUAACACAUGCAAGUCGAGCGGAUGAAAGGGGGCUUGCUCCUGGAUUCAGCGGCGGACGGGUGAGUAAUGCGCAGGAAUCUACCUAGUAGUGGGGGAUAACGUUUCGAAAGAAACGCUAAUACCGCAUACGUUCUGAGGAAGAAAGCAGGGGAUCGUAAGACCUUGCGCUAUUAGAUGAGCUUGCGUCCGAUUAGCUAGUUGGUGGGGUAAAGGCCUACCAAGGCGACGAUCGGUAACUGGUCUGAGAGGAUGAUCAGUCACACUGGAACUGAGACACGGUCCAGACUCCUACGGGAGGCAGCAGUGGGGAAUAUUGGACAAUGGGGGCAACCCUGAUCCAGCCAUGCCGCGUGUGUGAAGAAGGCCUUCGGGUUGUAAAGCACUUUAAGCGGGGAGGAAGCCCUGAUGGCUAAUAUCCAUCGGGAUUGACGUUACCCGCAGAAUAAGCACCGGCAAACUUCGUG